Molecule: long non-coding RNA, 9442 nt
Organism: Cavia porcellus (domestic guinea pig)
Lineage: Eukaryota; Metazoa; Chordata; Mammalia; Rodentia; Caviidae
Exons: 6
Source: RefSeq, a predicted model, not a curated record
CACAGGAGGGGGAGGGGUCAGCUGGCAAACAAAAGGGUCUCAAAGUGGGGAGGUACACGUUCUCCCUGCGUCCAGACCGGCCUACACAGGCAAGGGGGACUGUGCGACCCUGGGCACGAGUUCCGGAAGUGACCGCCAAUCACACCAUGCCCUUGCCCACCCCUUCACCAGGCCUCGGCCGGACCUCACAGCUUGGACAGCGGACCAAACCAAGUCUUGGGUCCUAAUGGGAACUGGAUAACUGGAAGCAACCACUGAACGAGGGGCGAGGGGAAACACUUAGGUUUUCAUCACUGACUAUGAAGUCAGCUGUAGGUGUUUCAUAGACGUCUGUUAUUAGGACCUGGGAGAAUCUGCCUUGGGGUUACCUAAUUCUUGGAGAUAAAGAAUGGCUUGUCUACAGGCAUAUCUUUGACAUCUGAAUCAAGCAACACCAAGCCAUAGGUGGUGAGUGUUUUUGCUUCUUUGCACACUACCUGCCAUGAUGUGCUCCUUUGUCAGAAGUCCAAAAGCAAGAAGGCUGACUGAUAAUACAUUGGAAUCUCCAGAACUGUGAGCCAAAAUAAACCUUUCUGUUUAUAAGUUGUCUUAGCUACUUUAUUAGAGAAAGACAACUAACACACUCUGUUAAGAAAUCUGUUUGGGAAGAAAGUAUGUCCUGGAUACACAUACACAGAAUGCAGGUUAAGAAGCUUGCAGUGAAAUUUAAACCUGACCCUGAAGUAUGAAGUGUCAGAAAAGACCUCAAAGAAGAAAAGGGAUCUGAGUGAGUCUCUCAAAUGUGGGUUGGAUUUGGAAAGGAGGCAAUGGAAAGGCCAUUGCAGUAGGAAAGGACAACCUGAUCAAAGGAAGCAAAGAUGAUUUGUGCUGGGGAACAAUGAUUAAAUCAUCAUGAGCAAGGUGGAAAUUACUGAGAUGAGACAAAGGUGCAAGAGAAAGUAAAUAAAAGGGAUACAAAUAAGAAAGGAAUAAGUUAAAUUAUCCUUGUUUACAGAUGAAAUGCCCUAUAUUUAGAAAGAUCCACUAAAAGACUUUUAGAGCUAAUACUCUCAGAAAAGUAGUAGGAUAAAAAAUCAAAAUAGCUUUUCUGUACACCAAUAAUGAACUAGCUGAGAAAUAAAUGAGGAGGACAAUUCUAUUCAUAGUACUUUAAAAACCUAGCCACAGAGGUGAAAGACCUCCAUGAUACAAACUGCAGAGUACUGAAGAGUGAAACUGAAGACAUUAAAGGAUGGAAAGACUACCCAUGCCAUGGACAGGCAGAAUUAAUGUUAAAAUGAUCCCACUACCAAAAGCGAUAUACAAAUCCAUUGAAAUUCCCAUCAAAGCAUCAGUGCUACAAUACCAAUGAUACAAUCAGUAUAGAAGCCCCUCAUAAAAUUGAAAAUGGAGCUAUCAUUUGAUCCAGCCAUACCACACCUUGUUAUAUAUAUAUAUAUAUAUAUAUAUAUAUAUAUAUAUAAAAGAAUUAAAGUCACUAUAGUGAUACCUGCAUACCCAUUUUUGUUGUAGCACAAUAUACAAUAGCCAAGAUGUGAAACCAGCCUUGAUGCUCAUCAAUGGAUGAAUAGAUAGAUAAAUGCUAUAUAUAUUAUUCAGUCAUAAAAAAGAAUGAAAUUUUAUCAUUUAUAGAAAAAUGGGUGAAUCUAGAGAUCAUGAUAUGGAAUGAGGGGGAUUCUGGGAAGAUGGCAGAUUGAUAGGUAGCAGGGUAGAGAGCCUCUCUGAGAAAAACAACUCAGAUGCUAGAACUUAACACCAUGGAGAAGACCAGACAAAAGGAUUCUCACGACCCAGGAAGAAACCGAGGGAAAAAAAAAAAGAAAAGGAAAAGAAAAAAAAAGAAAGGAAAAACAUGGACGAAAGGCUGGAACCAGACUUGCACUCACUGGAGCUGAUCCUGCACUUUGCUGGGUGCACCUUGGAGUUGGACGACUCAUGGUCACACUGAAGUCGUGGCCGCUGAAAUCCGGGGUUGGUGAGCCUGGGCCCUUGGUGGGAGGAUGUGGUGCCAUGGAGAGCAAAACCAACAGGGAGAGCUGCACUAACCCAUGGUGAGUGCUAGGGAUUGGGUCCCGUGGAAAGGGUGAUGUUCAUUCCACUGUCUUCCCUGUUCAUGGAGGCCUCUCUGCUACUGUUGCUAGAAUCCUGGUAUUUUUUCUCUCUCUCUAGAAUGUCCUUCAGUAUUUCUUGUAGGGUUGGAAUGGUGAUCACGAAUUCCCCCAGCUCCUCUUAGUCAUGGAAGCAUCUUGUUUCUCCAUUAAUUUUGAGAGACAGUUUUGCAGGGUACGUCAAUCUGGAUUGGAGUUAUUUUCUUUCAGGACUUGGAAUACUUUGCUCCAAGUUCUUCUUGGUUUGAUAGUUUGUGUCAAGAAGUCUGUCACGAUUUUGAUGGGUUUUCCUUUAUAGGCGAUGUUUCUUUUCUCUGACAGUUUUAAUAUUCUGUUCUUGUGAUGAAUUUCUGGGAUCUUGAUUAUUAUAUGACUGGGUGUAGAUCUGUUUUGGUUGUAGCUGGCUGGAGUUCUGUAUGCCUCAUAUAUCUGAAUAUCAUUUUCUUUUUCUAUGCUUGAGAAGUUUUCCUUAAUUAUUUCUGUGAAUAGCCUUUGUAUUUCAUUUGUGUUUACUCCUGCUUCUUCGUUCACAUUUUUUAUCUUAAGUUAUACAUCCUCUUGUUGUCUUCUAGCCUUUGCAUUAUUACUUCCUGGUUGCUUGUUAUUUUUAAGAGAUCUUUCCUUUUACAAUCAUGCAUUACAAAUCUAUCUUCAAGUUUUGAAAGUCUAACUUUAGUUUCUGUCCAGGAAUUUUGCCAGCUUUCAGUAGAGUUUUUAAUUUCCUGGUAAUCUCUUUGAAUCUGUUUCAUAUAUUCUAGAUUUUGUUUAUAUUCUUUAUCAAAGGUUUCUCUCUUUUUUCUGGGUUCCUCCAUUCUUCCAUCUGUGUUUUCUUGAGAGGUGCUUAGCACUUGUUUUAUUAAUCUUUUUGUAUCUUGCUUCACUUGAAUUAGAAUUUCAGUUUUAAGUUCGUAUAUGAGGUCAUGAAAGUAUUUCUUUAUGUCCACUGAUGCUGUGUCUGAUGUUACAUAUUUGCUGCCCUCAAUCUGGUCUGUAUUCAGCUCUCCUGGACUUAUUUUCCCUGGGUCAGUGGCUGGAGGCUUUUUCUUGUUUCUUUCUCUUGUCAUGUUUCUGGUUUCUUCCAGACAGUUGUAUGGUGGAGGUCUCAGGCCCUUUCCCUAUUGUUUAUAAUUUUUCUGAAGCAUGCUGGCUAGGGCACUGCUGCCCUGUCCGGUAUACUGUUGAUCUGUGAGCUCCAUGCAGGGACAUUGUGGGCUGGCCCCUCUCCGCUGAGCCAGUCAACCUGCGAGUGUCUUUAGCACGUUAGUCUGUGCCGUGCGGAUGUCACAGGUUCAGGACAGUUUUGUCCCGGGCUAUUGGGUCCUGACCCAAGCAGAUCCAACUCUUUGAGCCAGAAGCAGCCGACUGACGCCAAUGGGAUCCAGGUUCAGGCCUGUCCUGCCCAACUCCAAUGUGUCUGAUCUCUGGUUAUCUUGCUUUGGAAUCUGUGUCUCUUACAUUGUUAUCUUAUGAUCUGUUUUGUUCUGCUUUGUUAUGUUUAAUUUUACCCUCUUUAAAAAGAAAAAAAAAGAAGACAUUGUGGGCUCCAAUAGUAGUAUGAUUUUAAAACUACACACAUCACAGUUUUCAGUAAUCCUUGCCCUGGUCUCAGUUCACUCCUCCUGCCUCCCUCACCUGGGCUUUCUCUUCUCUUCUCUAGAUGCCAGCCUCACCUCCCACCUUUCAGUCUCCUUUAGCCUUGGGGCCUCCCACACCCUGUUCUCUCUGCCCAGAACGUUCUUAUUAUUCUGCAUGGUUGGCUCACUUUCUCCUUCGAGUUCCUGCUAAUAGAAGACUCUAAUCACUCCAAGUAUGUCUCUUGCCAACCUUAUCAUGUCACCUGAUAUGUUUCCUUCCUAGCAUUUAUCACAUUUUCCUGUUUGUUUUAUUACAUGUUUGCAAUGCAUAGUGAAUGUAUUUAUGGUUGAGGGUUGGUACAUACCACAGCUUAACCCUUAUAUUCUUCCUUCCCCUCUCUUUACUCUUUCUCUUUCCCUAGAUCACCUUCCAUCUCCAAGAGAUCCAACUCUCUAUUUGCAACCAGCUGUCUUUUUUUUUUUUGUUCUUUUGAGUUUUUAUAUUCGUAUGUGAGAGACCAUGCAAUAUUUAACCUUCUAUGUCUGAUUUCAUUUAGCAUUACGGUUUUAAGAUGCAUCCAUUUCUCUCCAAAUGCCUAAAAUUUAUCUUUCUUUAUGGCUGAGUAGUACUCUAUUGUAUAUGUAUCCCACAUCUUAUCUAUUUAUUCAUCUGGCGAUGGACAUAUCACAACUUAUAGUAAUGUCUUUAUCUGUCUACUUGUUUUUUGUCUUUCUCACUGAAUUGUAAAACUUUAAAAAAAUUAUCUCCAAGCCCCUAGCAUCUAACAUAAUCGUUGAAAUAAAUAAAUAAAUAAGCAAGAAAGUAGACUCUAGAGAUCAAUGUUGUAUCACGUCUACAAGGUAGAGAGAGCUCUAGAUGUCUUUAAUAAAAGCUUUCUGUGGGGAAAAUCAAGAUGUUGCAUGUGGGUCAUCAACAGACAGGGUGAUGACAGGCAGGAGCAGGAUCAGGCUUGGGACCAGUCACACAGCCUGGGCUUUCUCUCUCCCUCAGGUCCAGAUCCAGAUAAAAUACAGUAAGUUUUCGCUGUGCUGGUGACAAGUUGAUGCAGACCUACAGGAUGUGUAUGCUACAUUUUCAUUGUAGUUUCUGCUCAUGUUUAUAUUUUUACAAAUCUUUACAUUAACAGUAAAGUAGGCAGAGCAGAAGUCACUAUUUUCUUGGGCAGAGACAAGAAAGCCUGGUCAGUGUGUUACCCAAAUUCUUGUGGAUAACAAGGACAACGCGAAUCAAAGUCCAAGACAUCUGUCUCCAGAUUCAGAGCUCUGGCAGGUGUGGUGGUACACAUCUGUAACCCCAGCUCUUUGCACUCCAUUUCCAUUUAGCCUGUGUUUUCACAUACUUACUACAGGACAAAUACGUGGAGGGAGGGGUGCAGGUCACACGAAUAUAAAACAGAAUCCCUGGACCAAGGAUAUAGCUCAGCAGCACAGUGCUUGCCUGGCAAGCAUGAGGUCGUGAGUUCAGUUCCUGAUACAAACACACACACACACACACACACACACACACACACACACACACACACAGAGUAACUGACCUAAUAGAGUUAAACAAUUGCCAGAAACAAGAUGACACUGCCCCAUGCCACUCACAGGAGUUGAGAGGCCUGGCUAGAGGCAGAGGUGGAGGAGAGCUGGGUGAAUCCCAGCUCUGCACUCUGCCGGGAGGAAGACGCCUAGUUCGUUGUGUGCCAGCCAAGUUCAUCCCCUUGCCUUUCACUGGUGAAGACACUGCAGAACAAACAACUCAUUUCCUAAUCAGUGACAUGAUGCACACACGAAUGUCUGAUGCUGUUAGAGGCAGCACGACUCUCCUCAUCCAUCUACUCGGUGAUCUGUCUCACAUAUUCUUGUUGCUUCUGUCCUCCCCAACCUACAACAUUCAGUUCUCAGUGACUCAGCAGUACGCAAUGCUUUUUGUCUCCUGAAUCCUGUGACAUUCCAAAAUUAGACUCUGCCAUGGCUGAUCACAGCCGCCUUCCUUUCGACACUGGGGUAGCAGCCAACUUCGCACUGCUGCAGCAGGUGCUAACGGGCACUGCUGGCCUCUCUCUUGGUGACUCCUCUGCCUUCCCCUCAGAGGGUGGAAAUGCCCUGAGUGGCAGCCGCUAGUCACAAUCCUGCCGCCCUUCACAGAAGUCAGGAGAAAGCAACAACAAAAGAAAACGAGAGCCUCCAAUGAGGAAUGAUCCAAAGUUAAGUACCACCAGGUAUUGCUGGAGGCGAGUUCACUGGGGAUACCUGGGACCCAGCCUAGGUCAGUCAGGCACAAAGCUGCUGGAUGAUGCACCGGCUUUGCCUAUGGCACAGUUCUGCCCACCUGAUGCCACCAAAUGCACGGUUGGCCAACAAUACGGGAAAUCUACCCUCCUGGGUGAGAAACAGCUCGGCUUGUUCUUUCUUCCGCCUUGCUUGAAGAUGACACUGUUCUUCCAGACUUUGGAGACAGAGUUGUCUGAAAGCAGAAGCUUAAAAGAAAACAUCAUUUUCAUCCUGGUAGACUCUUGGGACUUCUUCCCUUCUUAUUCAAGUAAGAACCAAGAUGUGGCUUUUUAAAAAAGAAGAUAAAUAAAUGCUAGACUAGUAAGCCCCCCAGUUAAAGUAUCUGGUGUCAUUUUAUUUGUUUGCUUUGCAUACUCCUCAUACCAAGUUCAGAAUAGAACUAAUACCAGAUUUACUUUUAAAUAAACAGUGUCUUCAAAUACAUUCUACGGACACUGUGAAAUGUGGUAUUCUAAAUUUCUCUUUAAUGUGUCAGCUUUUAAAUGCAAGCUAUAUUUCUCUCUUCCUUUCUUUUCUUUUUCUUUUUGUCUUUUUGAGACAAGGUUUCAUUAUGCAGUUCAGGCUCACUUUGAACUCACUUUGUAGGCCAGACUGAACUUGAACUCACAGUGAUCCUCCUGCCUCAGCCUCCCCAGUGCUGGGAUUACAGGCAUGCACCAUUACUCCCAGCUAUACGCUAUAGUCCAGCAUAAAUUACUUAAUUACUAAUCUGAUAACAUUACUAAAUCUUCAGGUCCAAGUAAUUUUGUCGAAAUGUAAAAUGUUCAAAAUGCCUCCCCAAAAUUGGCAAAAGUAGAAAAUAAAGAUGAAAAUAAAAACAAAAGCUUUUUCUCAAAAUAUUAUUGCUGCUAACACUUUAGGGUGCUGGACAGAGCAAGGGUAGCCUCCUCUCCCACCAAAGCAGUUGGAUUCCACCCACCGCAUGUACCAGCUGAGCCCAGCAAGCUCCUCACUGUCAUUCAAUUCCACCUUUUGCUUCCACUGGCCUUCUGCAGGGCUUCCUUCCUGGCUUCUUUUACUUCUCUCCCUUUUCCUCUUCUUCAUUCCUUUCUCCCCUUUCCCCUCCCUACCCUCCUUGCUGUUUCUUUUUCUUCUCUCACUUUUUUUGUUAGUGCAUAUUGGUUACACUGACAGUGGGGAUUUGGCAGAUUUCUACAUGCACAUAACACACUUUAAUCAUUUCCCUCCAUCACCCCAACAGUACCGUCUGCUCUCCUGGUUUCAUAUACGGGGGAGGAAGGCAGCAUUCAAUAUGUAUAAUGUAUCACAUUCCCUAAAGGGAAGAGUGACUACAGUUUACAGACUCAAGCUCAGAGAAAUGCUAAAUGUUUGAGGAGAUGGGAGUACUGGUUUCUUGGAGUUGAUCAUUACACAUUGUAUACAUGUGUAGUAUCAUCACGUUGUGCCCUGAAAUAUUAGGAUUGUUAUGCAUCAAUUAAAAAGAGACCUGUGGAGAUGUUGGGACUUCUAAAAGUCAGAAAGGUGCAAUCUGAUAAAAAGAAAGGAGAGAAGAAAGAAAGACCUAAAAGUGAACAAAAAGAGAUGGAAUAAACUUUUUUCAUGUAAAGAAUGCUAAAGUCUUACCAAUCGCAUAUACUGUAAUACCAAAUACUGUGAUAAAGUAGAUGUUUGAAGCAAUGAAAACUUUUAAUCACUGUACAAGUAUUCUGUAGAUCCCUACCUAAUUUUCAUGUAAUACUCUCUCCCUCUCCUAGCCACUCCUAACAGUGUCCAAGAGUGGAAAUGCAGUUAGCAUUUUGAACACAUACUACCCUGUACUAAAUGUUGUUCUAUCACUGAUCUCAUGAGCCUGGUCCAAGCAGAAGAUAAUGACAAGAAGUGAUAAGGAUGGUCCUUACCAUACAUCUCUAUUGUGCUAGCAUAACCUUUCAAUGUGUGGUGUACAGUAGAUGCUCAGUAAAUGCCAUUCCUGUUUCCUCCUUAGAGGCAGGUCUGAUUUCAUGAAGGCCCUGCACUAAAGCUAGUGCACUCAGGGCCUGGGAACGUGGCAGGCUGGAAGCAGGUUGGCUCAGAAGCAGGACGGAGCUGUAGAGGAGGCAGUGGGAUUCAGUCAGUGCUUCCCCAGCCAAGGACAGCAGGGGCCAGCAUUUCCUCCACAGCAAGAGGGGUAGAAUAUUAAAACUUAGAUCAACCAAAUUAAUCACUACCGGUGACUGAACAGGGCUUUACGGUUUACACAAUGCCUUCAAAUAGAUUUUCUCAUUUAGCUCUUCUAACAGUCCCAUCAGGUCACUCAUUUCAUAACAGAGAAAAGUGAGACUCGUUAAAGCGAUUUAGUCAAAGUCAAACUUAGAGAUGGUGCAAGGACUCCAGUCCAGGUUUUCAGACAUCAAAUUGGGUGCUCUUUUUAUGAAACCAUAUCUGAUUCUGAGAGAUAGUUUUCUUGUUCCUUGACAUUGCUGUGUAGAUAGUAUGUUUCUAGAAUCUUGGAUCAUAUCUGCCAAAUAUGUUGAACUUGUGGCUAUAAAUUCAAAAUUUAUACCCUUGCAUGAUUGAUACUUCCAAGUGAAUUUUAACUAGUAUCUUUUCUUGGCGGGGGGGCGGGGUACCAGGGGUACCUGUGCUUGCCAAAGGUUGCUUGUGCUGCUGAGCUAAAUCCCCGGCCCACAAGUAAAUUUUAGCAACUCAUUUUUAGAUUGUGGUUUGUGAAAUAACCUGCUUAACUCUUCACAGCCUUUCAGAAAACUAACAUCAACUGGCUGAAGUAUCCAUCAUUCUUGAAAAGAAAAUGUAUCUUGUUAGAUACACUAGUGAGUUAGUCAACUUUCUAUUAUUUUACCAACUACUGCGAUAAAGCAACUUACAAAGAGAAAAAAUGUGUUUUGGCUUGUAGUUUCAGUCCAUGACCGAAAGGCCCUGCUGCUUUGGCCUGAGGUGAGACAGCACACCAUAGCAGGAAUAUGUGAAGGAGAAAGAACCCUCACCUCAUGGCUCGGAUGCAAGGAAAAGAAGCCACUGUCCACAGUCCCAGUUGAUGGGAUGGAAGCAUUUGCGCGGGAGCGCGAAAGUGAUGGGAGGGUCUUGACUGCCCCCUGGUGGCGCUAUCCUUUAACUGCGACACGCCCGUGAUGGGCCCUGUAAGAAAGGGAGCAUCAGAGCUCCGUGCGGUGACCUAAGAGCCUGGAGCAAGCGUCCCUUUCCACCACCCUUCUCCUUCUCAAGCUUGAGAAUUUGCAGCUGGCUCGCGGAGGUGGAGCAGGGGUCGUUCCGUCCUCCGGGUACUGGGGUUUCUGAGCCUGAAGAGACGCAGCGGAGAGAGCAGCUGCAGCAGAGUGCGCGGCCACGGGCUGCGCCUUCAGAGACCAAGUCUUUGCUUAGUGGCUGAGAGUGGCUGAAAAGUCCUUGGUGUGGCUUGGCUUUCACCCAGACUGCGGGGACAGGACACACCUAGAGAGCGGGGCUGAGGGACAAAGAAAGAGGAAGAAGCCUUUCACUUGU